UUUUGUAACUUAAUGUACCUACUGAUUUUGUAAUCUUAUUUUAGGAUCUCAAACUACUUUUAACUUUCAUACCUUAGGUAGGAGGUUGUUAUGCAUCUUUUACUCAUGAGAAUGCUUAUUAGUUGUUUUUUUGUUAUAUAACAUUAUGCUUAACUUUUUUGAGUUAUUUUUAGUCAUGAUUUUAAUUAGUUUUAAUGGUUGCACUUGCAGCUACAAUUACAAGUUUGUUUAAGAUACUUGUUGAAGAAGGAAACUAAGUUAUUAAUAUGCUUAACUAAGAAGGUUUGCCAUCUAAUUUGUGCUCAAUUUAAAUUCCUACAUUAGUUUCUACUUUAUUAACUAAGUGCUCUUUUUAUACAUAGAUAAGUUGAUUUAAUUUUCAGUACUAGUUAUUACAUUAUUUUCAUUUCUAGCGUGUUCUUUUCUAACCCGGUGAUAAUUUGAUUGGAACAAGUAGGUUAACCAAAAAAGGCUUUGGUUAGGAAGGUUGAUUGAGAUUGCGAAUCAAGAACGAUCUAAAAGUGCUACAAGUAUGAUUGGAUAGUUUCUACUUUAAGGU
RNAcentral lists this long non-coding RNA (559 nucleotides) under Trifolium pratense (red clover). Its description in RNAcentral is "long non-coding RNA (TPRA_LNC010492)". The record is from RNAcentral. Lineage: Eukaryota; Viridiplantae; Streptophyta; Magnoliopsida; Fabales; Fabaceae.